GGACAUGAGGGUGAUCUGGCUGCAACAUCUGUUGCCCGUUAUCACCAGGGUUGACUCGGCUGAUCUGUCUGGCCAGGGGGUGAUACCUUCCUCCCUCCCUGCUCCAUGUGCGUCCCUCCCACAGCUGCGUGCUCAGUCCAAGAGGAUGAAAAGUACACACCUAGCUGUGCUCCCCUUCUAGAACCUCCAAAGCAGCUCUCAAGAACAGAAGCCUAAAUUCUUCGAUGUGGGGGUCCUAAGGGAUCUCAUUCUUU
Unclassified non-coding RNA from Fukomys damarensis (Damara mole-rat), 254 nucleotides. Its record names the gene 7SK. It matches the Rfam family "7SK RNA". From Rfam's summary of the family: 7SK was discovered as an abundant small nuclear RNA in the mid-70s but a possible function has only recently been suggested. Two independent studies have found that 7SK RNA binds the CDK9/cyclin T complex (known as elongation factor P-TEFb). The record is from Ensembl. Lineage: Eukaryota; Metazoa; Chordata; Mammalia; Rodentia; Bathyergidae.